CCAAGGUAGGCCUUGGCCUCAGUGGCUCUUGUCAUGGCUUUUCUGCAUCCUCUCUGUAUAGCUGAUUGGCUCUUUGUGCUGCAGAUCAUUCUCUGAGGCCCCCAGAUUCCUUGCCUCUACUUUUCUCUGCGAGUUUUACAUCCUUAGGCUCUCCCUGGAGUCAGGCUUUCCUACAUGGGCAUCCCAGAGGCAGGAAAGGGCCACCUGAGCCUGUUUCCCUCUGCUUCUCCCUGCAGUGCCCAUCAUAGACUGGACUCAGUCUGAGAUCCUUAUCCUGGAUUUCCACAAGAGGGAAGCUGGCUGGCCCAGGGGUAGGGGGUGCCCAGAGCCCCCACAGCAGAGGCCCUUGGUGAGGAACUAUUUUCUAAGAAGAAAGGGUAACCUGCUCAGAGAAGGUGCAGAGGUGAUGACAGCAAACCCUCAGGCUCCAUAAGAAGUCAUUUGUAGGAGCAACAGAGGAGAAUGAUGCCCCUGCCCCGGCCAGGCUGAGUCUAAAGUACCUGGAGUACACCCCUGGCCUACUCCUGCUCCCUGAACAGCCUCAACUCUUCUACAGCCUGUGCUUUUAUGAUGAGCAAAUAAAAGCAAUGAUUUUUAAAAUAUUGCAUCUGCAUGUCCCAAGGUAUUCCUCAUUACUGAAAAAUGCAAAUAUACUUUUUGCUCGAAACCCCUGCUGAUGGAAACAGAAUCCACAUCGCUACUCAAAUUAUUAUGAGCUACCUACAGCACUUGGCUAAACUAGGUACAUAGAAACUAUUUCAUAAAACAUUCUCUCUUUAUAAGGAAAGUGUGACAAGACUAUGAUGUGGUUUCUUAACUUCAGAAUUGUUUCUUCUUCAUCCAAAUGAGAGAUUGUUAGCGUGAAGAGGUAACAAGAAAUAGUGAGGACUUG
Molecule: long non-coding RNA, 892 nt
Filed under: Vulpes vulpes (red fox)
Lineage: Eukaryota; Metazoa; Chordata; Mammalia; Carnivora; Canidae
Description: lncRNA (ENSVVUG00000000439.1)
Source: RNAcentral